RNAcentral lists this ribosomal RNA (253 nucleotides) under uncultured bacterium. RNAcentral's name for it is "partial 16S ribosomal RNA". It matches the Rfam family "Bacterial small subunit ribosomal RNA", at positions 524 to 776 of the family's 1533-position model. The record is from RNAcentral.
UACGGAGGGUGCAAGCGUUAUCCGGAUUCACUGGGUUUAAAGGGUGCGUAGGAGGGCAGGUAAGUCAGUGGUGAAAUCUUCGAGCUUAACUCGGAAACUGCCGUUGAUACUAUCUGUCUUGAAUACCGUGGAGGUGAGCGGAAUAUGUCAUGUAGCGGUGAAAUGCUUAGAUAUGACAUAGAACACCAAUUGCGAAGGCAGCUCGCUACACGAAUAUUGACGCUGAGGCACGAAAGCGUGGGGAUCAAACAGG